Molecule: ribosomal RNA, 440 nt
Filed under: uncultured bacterium
Lineage: Bacteria
Description: partial 16S ribosomal RNA
Rfam family: Bacterial small subunit ribosomal RNA
Source: RNAcentral
CCUACGGGUGGCAGCAGUAGGGAAUAUUGCUCAAUGGGGGAAACCCUGAAGCAGCAACGCCGCGUGGAGGAUGACGGUUUUCGGAUUGUAAACUCCUUUUGUUAGAGAAGAUAAUGACGGUAUCUAACGAAUAAGCACCGGCUAACUCCGUUCCAGCAGCCGCGGUAAUACGGCGGGUGCAAGCGUUACUCGGAAUCACUGGGCGUAAAGCGCGUGUAGGCGGGAUAGCAAGUCUGCUGUGAAAGCCUAUGGCUUAACCAUAGAAUUGCGGUGGAAACUGUUGAUCUAGAGUAUGGGGGAGGUAGGAGGAAUUCUUGGUGUAGGGGUAAAAUGCGGAGAGAUCAAGAGGAAUACUCAUUGCGAAGGCGGCCUGCUAGAGCGUUACUGACGCUGAUGCGCGAAAGCGUGGGGAGCGAACAGGAUUAGAUACCCUAGUAGUC